This 29-nucleotide non-coding RNA is filed under the name Mus musculus (house mouse). The record is from RNAcentral. Lineage: Eukaryota; Metazoa; Chordata; Mammalia; Rodentia; Muridae.
UGCCAGCUUCAUCUGCUCCCACUCCUUCU